RNA transcript from Chrysochloris asiatica (Cape golden mole), 1041 nucleotides. It is a transcript of the gene named eukaryotic translation elongation factor 1 gamma pseudogene, with no coding region annotated. The transcript has a single exon. NCBI's taxonomy places the organism in Eukaryota, Metazoa, Chordata, Mammalia, Afrosoricida, Chrysochloridae. The record is from RefSeq and is a predicted model, not a curated record.
CACUUUGGGCAUCAUGCAUCACAACGAGCAGGCCACAGAGAAUGCCAAGGAGGAGGUGAAACGAAUUCUGGAACUGCUAAAUGCUCACUUGAAAAUGAAGACUUUCCUGGUGGGCGAAUGUGUGACCCUGGCUGACAUAACAGUUGUCUGUACCCUGUGGUGGCUUUACAAACAGGUCCUAGAGUCUUCUUUUCGUCAGGCCUUCCCCAAUACCAACCUCUGGUUCCUCACCUGCAUUAACCAGCCCCAGUUCCGGGCUGUUUUGGGGGAGGUGAAGCUCUGUGAGAAGAUGGCUCAGUUCGAUGCUAAAAAGUUUGCUGAGAGCCAACCUAAGAAGGACACCUCACGGAAAGAGAAAGGUCAGUGGGAGGAGAAGCAGAAGGCUCAGGCUGAGCGGAAAGAAGAGAAGAAGGCCACGGCUGCUGCCCCUGAGGAGGAGAUGGACGAAUGUGAGCAGGCACUAGCUGCUGUGCCAAAGGCCAAGGAGCCCUUUGCUUACCUGCCCAAGAGUACUUUUGUGUUGGACGAAUUUAAACGCAAGUACUCCAACGAGGACACGGUCUCUGUGACACUUCCGUAUUUCUGGGAGCACUUUGAUAAGGAUGGCUGGUCUUUGUGGUAUUCUGAAUACCGCUUCCCCGAGGAGCUCACCCAGGCCUUCAUGAGCUACAACCUCAUCACCAGAAUGUUCCAGAGAUUGGACAAUCUGAGGAAGAAUGCCUUUGCCAGUGUCAUCCUCUUUGGGACCAACAACAGCAGCUCCAUCUCUGGGAACUGGGUCUUCAGAGGCCAAGAGCUUGCUGAGUCCAGAUUGGCAGGUGGACUAUGAGUCCUACACGUGGGGGAAGCUGGAUCCUGGCAGCAAGGAGACACAGACGCUGGUGCGGGAGUACUUUUCCUGGGAGGGAGUCUUCCAGCAUGUGGGCAAAAACUUCAACCAGGGCAAGGUCUUCAAGUAAACACCAUGUCGUUCAUCACCUGACUACCUGUGUCUGCCCCUCAGGGAGGGGUCAUUAAAGGGAACUGAACAUUGAAAAAAAA